AGGCAUUAAUACCGCCGAAAGUCCUCACACCCUAGAAACACCCUCUACUUCAUCACAACAACCGAUGAUUAAAGAAAAUGUGGCUCCGACACGUGAACAAAGACAUAUUGCAAAUUCUGACAUGGGACAUGUUGAAGAACUAACCGAAUCAAUGAUGAUUCAAAACAGAGGCAGCAACCGAUCAACCCUAGGACAAGGAAGUAUGUCUGAAAUAUACG
Strongylocentrotus purpuratus (purple sea urchin) is the source of this 218-nucleotide long non-coding RNA. RefSeq lists it as uncharacterized. Lineage: Eukaryota; Metazoa; Echinodermata; Echinoidea; Camarodonta; Strongylocentrotidae. The record is from RefSeq and is a predicted model, not a curated record. The transcript is spliced from 5 exons.